UGCCAAUUGCGCACUCCCUCAAAAUUGAGACAUCUGUGGCAUUGUGUUGUGUGACAAAAUUGCACUCUUAAAUGUGCAACUUGCACAUUUUAAGAGUGGCCUUUUAUUGUCCCCAGCACCUGUGUAAUGAUCAUGCUGUUUAAUAAGCUUCUUGAUAUGCCGCACAUGUCAGGUGGAUGGAUUAUCUUCGCGAAGGAGAAAUGCCCACUAACAAGGAGGUUAACAAAUUUAAGAGAAAUAAGCUUUUUGUGCAAAUGGCACAUUUCUAAGAUCUUUUAUUUCAGCUCAGGAAACAUUGGGACCAACAACUUACAUAUUGUGUUUAUAUUUUUUAUUCAGUGUGUGUGUAUACAAUUUUUUUUCUCUGCAUUCUUUUUACGCACAAAACCAUUUAAGCAACAUGGAUGUUGAUCCAGGAGGGUAUUGAAUGUCUCUAAUCUGGGUACCAGUCUUUUUAGCUAACAUGCCACUUGAUGUCAUUGCCAAAGAGACUGGCCAUAAGACAAUCUCAACGUUCAAUAUGCAGCUGGUUUUACGGCGGAGCUGCUCAUUGGUUGUUGGAAAUAACAUUUAUUUUCCAUGACAACAUGUGGAACCUCAAAUAGAAUUAUAAAGUCAAAAACAACCAUUUAGCGUUUAGAUAGACAAGUUAUUUUAUUUUUAGAAAAUCUUUUUGAGGUUGGAAUUGCAGGAUGUAUUUAGUUUGAGAAUUCAGACGUGAGUUAGCAACCUUUGACAGACUGGUUUUGUCUGGACAAACAAAAACCACAUACCAACGUGUUCUGUGGAGAAAAAGUUCCUGUAUUUUGAUAAUUGUUUUUAUUAGAGUAUAGCUUUUUGGGCCCCCCGAGUGACGCAGCGGUCUAAGGCACUGCAUCUCAGUGCAGGAGACGUCACUACAAUCCCUGGUUCGAAUCCAGGCUGUAUCGCAUCCAGCCGUGAUUAAGAGUCCCAUAGGGCGCUGCGCAAUUGGACCGGGUUUGGCUGGGAUAGGCCGUCAUUGUAAAUAAGAAUUUGUUCUUAACUGACUUGCCUCGUUAAAUAAAAAAAUAGCUCUGAGGGUCAUCAAAUCAGGAUCAACUCAUCUGUUCUCCUCGCGCUCAUUAAUGAUAUAGUUAUACUUAACUUAUAGUUAGUUAUAAGCAGUGUCGUAGCAUGCACCCCCACAUUCCCGUAAUUCUGGUGUCACUACAUCAUAACCUACUCUUCUGUUGCUGUCUCUGUCUUGUCUGGUGUCUCUCCAUCAUAUCCUACUCUUCUGUUGCUGUCUCUGUCUUGUCUGGUGUCUCUCCAUCAUAUCCUACUCUUCUGUUGCUGUCUCUGUCUUGUCUGGUGUCUCUCCAUCAUAUCCUACUCUUCUGUUGCUGUCUCUGUCUUGUCUGGUGUCCCUCCAUCAUAUCCUACUCUUCUGUUGCUGUCUCUGUCUUGUCUGGUGUCUCGCCAUCAUAUCCUACUCUUCAGUUGCUGUCUCUGUCUUGUCUGGUGUCCCUCCAUCAUAUCCUACUCUUCAGUUGCUGUCUCUGUCUUGUCUGGUGUCCCUCCAUCAUAUCCUACUCUUCUGUUGCUGUUUCUGUCUUGUCUGGUGUCCCUCCAUCAUAUGCUACUCUUCUGUUGCGGUCUCUGUCUUGUCUGGUGUCCCUCCAUCAUAUGCUACUCUCCUGUUGCUGUCUCUGUCUUGUCUGUGUGGUUGGUGGGUGUGAGUGAGUGUGUGUGGGGUUAGGGAUUGCAGGGGGCUUCUGACAUCUAAAGCAGAGUCGUGUAUGCUUGGUAAACGACUAUAAACAGUUCUGAGUGCAGUCUGUCAUCGCUCCAGGGGAAGUUGUUGUACAACUCUCCCCCUCAAAUGGGCAUUAAAAAUUCAUCCUUCACAGGCUGCUCAAUAUUUAAUGAAUCGUCUGCUAAUUGGCUGAGGAUAAAAGCCUGCUUAACUGGGCUAAGCGUUUCAGAUUAAAACAUUUUAAAGAUUGGGAAAAGAAAGGAAACACCGAUACACAGUGUCAGGAGACUGAGCUCUCUGCAUCUUCACAUGUUCAUCCUUAUUACCCCCUUACACUGCCUUAUAUAGCCAGAGUGUUACACCCCCAAAGUAGGAGUGUGUGUGAUUUGUGUAUGAGAAAGGAGUAAGUGUGUGUUUAUUUGCUUGUGUAUUUUUUUGUGUUUGUGCAUGUUGUUCCCAGGGGUGUGGGUAUCGUUGUUGUGUGUGUGUGCAUUCCCAAUCAGUCACUCAGCAUCUGACUUAGUUGGGGUGUUUAGCGGCGAGCAAGAUGAAAGAUCAUUGUGUGAGCAAACACUUGAGUUGAGAGAGAAUCAGUGUGGUCGAGGGAGCAGAGGACGGGUCCCGCCAGCGCAGGCCAGCGUGGUGCACGCAAAUUAAACUUGAGAGCUUGCGAGUAUGACUUUGAGCGAACAGAACUGCAUUGUCGCACGCAAUAAAUUAAUUGGAGAGCAGGGAUUUUUAUUCCCCUGACUACAUGUCAAGACUCAAAUUACUGCACUCACAAAUACGCUGCAUCCCCACACGGAUGUCUCCUCCCCAUUUCACCCCAAUUUUCCAGUUUGCUCUCCAAAAUCCACCUUGCGCUCGGAACUUCAUACUAUCGUUUUAUAACAGGAAAAUUCUACCCAAUGAACAUAGCAUGUAGCGGUCUACUGAAACGCAAUUGGUCAUGUUUUUGGAUCAAUCACGAAUGCUCUAACCAGAUUUUAGAGGUUUCCAUAAGGUUAGGGUUAAACGUGCUACACAUAGGAUUUAUUUUUGCAUUGUAAUUUCAGAAAAUGUGCAUAAUAUAUCUGCAGUAAUAAUGGAGUGAUAGUAUUUCUUACCCGCCAGUGUUGUGAUUCGCUGAUAUUCUCCUAUUGAUUUCUCCCCCCGGAGUGGCAUCAAAAUGGGUUCUGACUUUGUGGCUUUGUUAUCUAGUGGAAAUUGCUUUGUCACUUCCAAAACCGCUUUUGAAGCUGGUGGACGCAAACCAAAACUUUUGGUUUUGGUCCACCAGCUUCAAACAGCUGUAAAAAUGUUUAUUUUUAUUUUAUUGAAAAUAUUUUACUGAUGAUACAAUAAUUCCCUACACUAUUCAGUGCUUGAUCUCUCACAAAAACUGACAUUGAGCAAACAGUGUAGAAUUUUGCAACCAGGAAAUGACAGAGCGAUUCCACUAGAUACACAGCCAUAAAGUCAAAACAGCUUUCCCAUUUUGACAACAGAUGCCACUCCGGAGGGAGAAAUCAAUAGGCAAAUAUCACAGCCAAUCACAACACUGGCAGAUAAGUUCCAAUAUUACUGCAGAUAUAUUAUCGACAUUUUUGGAAAUUAGAAUGCACAAAUGAAUUUAAAAAAAAUGUAACACCUUUUAUGUUUAGGUUUAAAAUCAGAUUAAAUAGGCAGGGUUAAUGACUUUGGCUGUGCUAACUAGUAACCACCUAUUUUUGAGCACAGAAGAGGAAAGGGUGAACGAUGGCUGACAAUAAAGAGGUAAGUUUGAUCGUUUUUCAGUAGAGAAACUACUAAACCAACUAGCUUAGCUAAUCAACUAUCAUUUCAAUAUUGAAAUUGAAGUAGGUAGUUAUUUGGUAUUCUGUUUUAAUAGCAGGUUAUUAGGUUAACGAUAGUAGGUAGGAAGCUAACUAGCUAACCAUCUAGCUAACAUUUAACUCUGUGGUUUAACCAAAGAUGGUUUCGUUUUCUAUACCGUCUCUGGUUUAACUAAGAGCAUUGUAAGUCAACGAGUGGAUUAGUAGAGGAAGAGGACUUGGAAGAAUAGUAUGACUGGGAAGAAGUGGCAGAAGAGCGGGGAGAGGCAUGGUGAAAACAGACCACUGAAGUAUAAGAACAGACAGUGAGCACUCACGGUGGGAGAGGGCUAUGAUUGAGGAGGGGAAGUCGAGAGGUCAGGCUCCGAACCAAAUAAUAGCUAAUAUUGUAAAAUGCUAAGCGCAUACUUUAAAAUGAUUGAAUAGAUUUGAUCACUUUUAAUCUGUCAGUUUUUGUGCAGUUACAGUAAAUGAGAAUGACGUCAAAAACAAUUUUCUCUCCAUACCUCUUUCCAUGCAGGUCCACUGUCACUAAUAUGUGGUGGUGAAGUCCCAAUGGGCACAGAUGUCAAUUCAACGUCUAUUCCACGUUGGUUCAGCGUAAUUUCAUUGAAAUGACGUGGAAACAACGUUGAUUCAACCAGUGUGUGCCAAGUGGAGUUGUUCUUUGCUCAGCUGACAGACCGGAGAUACAGGAGCCCAUUCGGUUCCAAGUAGCUUACCUUGGCUCUCCUCUACCUACAGCACUCUGGGGACUUCCAGCAGUUGUUCUCAGGAGAUGGGUCAGUGUGCAUAGAGAGAACAUGUUCGACCAGGUGGAGUCAGGCUUCUACGUCAUCGCCCUGGACCACUACACCAACGAGGCAGAGGACACCAACUUUGGACCAAUGGCUCUGGCUUGCUGAUAACAUCUGAUGUGAUGAGACUCCCGAUGCGAUUUGACUCCUGUAUUACUGACUGGAUUCAAUAAAUCUUCAUUUGAGAUUCUGUAAUUGAUAGACAAUGGUAGUUCCCAAUCAGACAAUUACUAUAAAACAAAUCUGUUUUCCUCAGUUCAAUGUUUGGUGAAUGCAUGGCAUUGUUUUGUUCUCAGUCCUCCUUUUGAAUGCUGUGUGUAUUGAUUCAGUUCUAAACGACCUUUGAGUCCAUCCUCACCUCUUCUAUUACUGCAAUGGAUUGUCCGGUCUGCUGAGAGGGUCAUUGGCUACCACCUGCUCUCCAUCGUGGUACUGCAUAACUCCAAGGCAAGGAAGCAUGCAGGAAAGAUCAUCGCUGACCUCUUCCACCCCCUCUGGCAAACGGUUCAGGUCAAUCACGAUCAAAAUCUCCCACCACCUGAACAAUUUCUUCCCCCCGCGCUGUGGCCCUCACCAACCGGCCACCUGGUUCACAAUGAUCCUCUCAUCCGCAUGGACUUUGCACUAUUCAUCCACCGACUAUGCACCCUGCACUAUUCAUCCACCAACUAUGCACCCUGCACUAUUCAUCCACCAACUAUGCACCCUGCACUAUUCAUCCACCAACUAUGCACCCUGCACUAUUCAUCCACCAACUAUGCACCCUGCACUAUUCAUCCACCAACUAUGCACCCUGCACUAUUCAUCCCAGACCUGCACGACUCUUACAUUCAUCAUUUAGGCUGUAGUUUUUUAGCUUAGUGUUCAUACUGUAUGUGGAUCUGUGAAAUUCUGUGUAUAAUGUCUUUAUAUUAUGUUUAUCGUCUGUCUCUAUAUUCUGUUUAUUGUGGUAGCACCAUUUCACAGUUUGAGGAACCACAUUUUCACCAUAAAAAUGCACACCAUAAAAAUGCAUUUAUAAUAAAGCAUUUGCAGACUUA
Salmo salar (Atlantic salmon) is the source of this 5368-nucleotide long non-coding RNA. RefSeq lists it as uncharacterized. NCBI's taxonomy places the organism in Eukaryota, Metazoa, Chordata, Actinopteri, Salmoniformes, Salmonidae. The record is from RefSeq and is a predicted model, not a curated record.